UGUACUUAUGUUUAUUUUUCUGUACAGCACUUUGGACAACACUUUAGUUGUUGUAAAGUGCUUAACAAAUAAAGUUGGUAUGGUAUGGUAAGUUUAGCUGUUUUAAAAAAAGACCGUUGCAAUUUAAAUAAUAAGCUACGAAAACCAAUGCAAAAGACAAAUCACCAACCUCUGUGUUCAGCAAAUCAUUUUCACGGCAAUAAUUAUCUAAGCCAAUCAGAAUUGACACCUCUGCUACGUUGGUGGCACACGCAGAAAGAAGCGCGCGACAUGAUGAAGAGUGUAGACGGCGGCGCGCUGGUGAACUAUUCUGCUGUUUUCGAGGAAGCAACAGUUGUGAGAGUUUUUUGAUUCAAUACCAGGAAUUGGAACAAUAGCUAUCUGGAACUUCUGGAACUGAGAUCAGUCAGAAGCCUUCAAGCUCAAACAUUAAAUGCCUUUUCCGGAUAAAUCCAGAUAGGGGGACCAAAGUGGAGAAGCAACAAUCUAAAAAACAGCAGUCCAUAAAUCCUACGGUUCUUUCUUUGAUUACAAACAUUGCAGACUUUGAAUGGCGAGAGUAGACAUCUCACAUGCCAGCUUCUUUCUGUUUCAUACAUUUCCAUUUAGUUUAUAGACUAUUCUGUAAUGUGUAAAGGGUUCAUUCUGCUUGUAUUUUGUGGCUGACUGUUAUCUUGAGUGAGUUGCAGCGUUUUAACCACACGUUUUAAAUUGUGUACAUUUCAAAGUACAGGGUUAAAAAAAAGCUCACAGUAAAGACCAGAAGUUUUAACCAGUGGGGAGAACCAGUUUCAUAAAAAAAAAAAAUGUGUGUGUGUAUAUAUAUAAAAUGCUGCUAAACGAUGCUUUGUUAAAUGUUGAUCACAGGAUGUAUUUGCAGAUAACAAAUAAAACAAAAUUAAGAUUACUGGUGUUUUUUUUAUUAUUAAAGCAAAUCUUAGUUAUUUUUGCAGUUUAAACUGCUUAAAGUUGAACUUAAAGUUAAGUAAAUGAUCACAACUUUAUUUUAGGGGGAACUAUCCCUUUAGAUAUGUCUGUCACCUCUCUAGCUCAAGUUAAAUACUUUUUAUAUGGCUCAUCAGAAUUGCUGAUUAUGAUCUUUUAAACUUUUUUUUUUAUCAUUCUUUAAAUAAUUUUUCUGUGUUUGAAUAUUUUAACAAUGUAUGUUAACAUACAUUUUAACAAUGUAUGUUAAAAUGAAAAGAUUUCAUGGUUUUAUAAGGAUAUUUUUGUGUAGAAUAACAGUAAUAAACCGUAAUUAUAGGAAAAGAAAUUACCAUUUUUUUUACAGUGUUAUCUGUACUUAAAACUUUUUUUAAAGACAAUUUUCUGUGUUUUAGAGGUGUAUGACUGUAUUUUAACAAUUAAUUUAUGUUAAAAUUAAAAGAUUUCAUGGUUUUAUAAGGAUAUUUUUGUGUAGAAUAACAGUAAUAAACCGUAAUUAUC
Long non-coding RNA from Onychostoma macrolepis, 1446 nucleotides. RefSeq lists it as uncharacterized. The record is from RefSeq and is a predicted model, not a curated record. The transcript has 3 exons. Lineage: Eukaryota; Metazoa; Chordata; Actinopteri; Cypriniformes; Cyprinidae.